UUAAAGACCUGGUAUUUAACUUGAGACAUUCAGGAAGGCGAGAUUAGAAAACUGCUUCACCGGAAGAUAGAAAACAAGGCUGACAGCUGCGACUCACAGGUUUACCGAAACUGCAGCCUAAAACAGCUCAGACUAAUGGUGUGACUGCUGGUAAAAGCUUGCGCCUACGUGGUCAGGAAGAUGCGGGCUUCUGUCGCUGACGGAGAGCAAGAAGAGAAGCCCAUCCGUACACCAUGUAGUGCAAAAGCUCAAAGCAAAUUGGAGAGAAAGUCGAUGGGGUCUUCCUCAACUGUUGCCCUGAACGCGGGACACGAUGAAAGUGUUGCCAAAGCAGCAGCAACAGGGACGUCCUCAGAGGCAGCUGUGCAGAGCUGUCGCUCCUGACGUUAAAGAUCUUGCUGGACGCUGGGACUGUGGUCAACUUAAUCUUCAAAGAUAAUUUAUAUAUUUGAAGUAUGAUAAAACACCUUAAGUUAGUGUUUCACUGUGAUUAGAUGACCACAUAAAUUAGAUGGUUGGUAUUUGUUUUUGACAAAAAUUCACAAACUGCACACUAAAAGUCAUAAUUUGAAUACUUUCUAGUUGUUCACGGUUUCCAGUGUCUAGCUCAGAAUGUCCCAUAAGAUGACCUUUCUCACAGCAGACAUUUUAAAAACAAGUGCAAUUAAUAACAUUAGUGCCCUUUUGUCGUCCUAUAGCACGACAGAAUUUAAUGGGGACAUUUGGGUUGGUUAGAACUGAAAGUGUGUGUGGUUAGUCAACAUGUUUACUGUGAGAAAGGCCUACAUUCAUGUACUGCAGCUUUUGAAGGCUGGCUCACCAACCUCUGCGCCCAGAGGCUGAGCAGGCCGGAUGUUUCUGCCGUUACCUAUGUAACCAUAAUUAUGUUAAAAAGCACUGUUUGGGUAAUAUUACCUGUUUAUUAUAUUCAUGUCAGAUUAGGUAAAAUGUGCACCAUUGAAUAAAGUAAAUACUGUAAUUGAACUAAUCUCAAAUUACAUAUUUGCGGAUGUUUUAAUAUAUAAAAUUGUUGUUAUGAAGUUGUUAUAAGGUUAUAUUUACAAGAAAUUUGGGACUGUAUUGUCAUACAUUGCAUUAUGCAGGUAAUUUCUUACAGCUAAUCUUGCAAAUAAAAGCAUACAAAGUC
Girardinichthys multiradiatus is the source of this 1147-nucleotide long non-coding RNA. RefSeq lists it as uncharacterized. The transcript has 3 exons. NCBI's taxonomy places the organism in Eukaryota, Metazoa, Chordata, Actinopteri, Cyprinodontiformes, Goodeidae. The record is from RefSeq and is a predicted model, not a curated record.